RNAcentral lists this ribosomal RNA (785 nucleotides) under Listeria monocytogenes. RNAcentral describes it as "partial 23S ribosomal RNA". It matches the Rfam family "Bacterial large subunit ribosomal RNA", at positions 747 to 1529 of the family's 2925-position model. Lineage: Bacteria; Bacillati; Bacillota; Bacilli; Caryophanales; Listeriaceae. The record is from RNAcentral.
GAAGGUAAGGUAAUACUUACUGGAGGUCCGAACCCACGCACGUUGAAAAGUGCGGGGAUGAGGUGUGGGUAGCGGAGAAAUUCCAAUCGAACUUGGAGAUAGCUGGUUCUCUCCGAAAUAGCUUUAGGGCUAGCCUCGAGGUAAAGAGUCAUGGAGGUAGAGCACUGUUUGGACUAGGGGCCCUUCUCGGGUUACCGAAUUCAGAUAAACUCCGAAUGCCAUGUACUUAUACUCGGGAGUCAGACUGCGAGUGAUAAGAUCCGUAGUCGAAAGGGAAACAGCCCAGACCACCAGUUAAGGUCCCCAAAUAUAUGUUAAGUGGAAAAGGAUGUGGGGUUGCUUAGACAACCAGGAUGUUGGCUUAGAAGCAGCCACCAUUGAAAGAGUGCGUAAUAGCUCACUGGUCGAGUGACCCCGCGCCGAAAAUGUACCGGGGCUAAACAUAUUACCGAAACUGUGGAUGAACCUCUUUAGAGGUUCGUGGUAGGAGAGCGUUCUAAGGGCGGUGAAGUCAGACCGGAAGGACUGGUGGAGCGCUUAGAAGUGAGAAUGCCGGUAUGAGUAGCGAAAGAAGGGUGAGAAUCCCUUCCACCGAAUAUCUAAGGUUUCCUGAGGAAGGCUCGUCCGCUCAGGGUUAGUCGGGACCUAAGCCGAGGCCGAUAGGCGUAGGCGAUGGACAACAGGUAGAGAUUCCUGUACCAGUGCUAAUUGUUUAACCGAUGGGGUGACACAGAAGGAUAGGGAAUCGCACGAAUGGAAAUGUGCGUCCAAGCAGUGAGUGUGAG